CUGACCGUAAACGAUGCCAACUAGCGAUCCGCCGGCGGAUAUUUCGCCCUGGUGGGGAGCUUCCCGGAAACGAAAGUCUUCCGGUUCCGGGGGAAGUAUGGUUGCAAAGCUGAAACUUAAAGGAAUUGACGGAAGGGCACCACCAGGAGUGGAGCCUGCGGCUUAAUUUGACUCAACACGGGGAAACUCACCCGGCCCGGACACCGUGAGGAUUGACAGAUUGAAAGCUCUUUCUUGAUUCGGUGGUUGGUGGUGCAUGGCCGUUCUUAGUUCGUGGAGCGAUUUGUCUGGUUUAUUCCGAUAACGAGCGAGACUCUAGCUUACUAAAUAGUCUUGUCUUUAUUACUGAGGCCUGACUUCUUAGAGGGAUUUUCGGUGUUCAGCCGCACGAGAUUGAGCAAUAACAGGUCUGUGAUGCCCUUAGAUGUCCGGGGCUGCACGCGCGCUACACUGGCGAAAUCAGCGUGCUUUUCCUAUCUCGAAAGAGAUUGGUAAACCGAUGAAAAUUUGCCGUGAUUGGGAUCGGAAAUUGCAAUUAUUUUCCGUGAACGAGGAAUUCCAAGUAAGUGCGAGUCAUCAACUCGCGUUG
This 589-nucleotide ribosomal RNA is filed under the name Aphelenchus avenae. RNAcentral describes it as "SSU rRNA". It matches the Rfam family "Eukaryotic small subunit ribosomal RNA", at positions 1026 to 1643 of the family's 1831-position model. The record is from RNAcentral. Lineage: Eukaryota; Metazoa; Nematoda; Chromadorea; Rhabditida; Aphelenchidae.